RNAcentral lists this transfer RNA (70 nucleotides) under Atta sexdens rubropilosa. RNAcentral describes it as "tRNA-Met". Lineage: Eukaryota; Metazoa; Arthropoda; Insecta; Hymenoptera; Formicidae. The record is from RNAcentral.
AAAUAAGUAAGCUAAAAUAAGCUUUUAGACUCAUACUCUAAAAAUAGAGACUCUCUCUCUCUCUUAUUUA